UUAACAAUCUCAAUUACAGGUCGUCCCUAUACCCUGUCCGGUAUGAGCGCCAAAUUAUUAAAACUCAAUACCCCGUUCGGUAUGAGAGUGAAGCAGGCCGUCCUCAUACCCUGUCCGGUAUGAGCGCCAAAUUAUCAAGUCUCCAUACUCCGUUCAGUAUGAAACAACGUUCACGGUAGGGUUCCCUAUAUACCCGGUCCGUCCACCAUCUUUCAGGAUAUCUAGUAAGGCUGUCGUUCCAUCUGUUUAUUUAAUCACACAACUUUUCCGUUUUCUUU
Molecule: long non-coding RNA, 278 nt
Filed under: Carica papaya (papaya)
Lineage: Eukaryota; Viridiplantae; Streptophyta; Magnoliopsida; Brassicales; Caricaceae
Description: long non-coding RNA (CPAP_LNC002307)
Source: RNAcentral